This 456-nucleotide ribosomal RNA is filed under the name Triticum aestivum (bread wheat). RNAcentral's name for it is "partial small subunit ribosomal RNA". Lineage: Eukaryota; Viridiplantae; Streptophyta; Magnoliopsida; Poales; Poaceae. The record is from RNAcentral.
AUGAGUCAGGUGGCCAGCAUAGCGCAGCUUGCUGGGGUGGACGCGUAUGGGCUCAUCACGAUGAUCGUGGAGGCUGCAAGGACAGUUAGAAGGAACCGGGAAACCUGUCAGCUGCUGGCGCGGCGUGUGAAGAUGAUUGGAGACCUUCUCCAGCAACUCGAGAGCAUGCAGCUGAUGCAGCAUACAGAGACGAGAAACCCCGCCGAGCAGCUGGAGGAAACACUCCGGCAUACAUACAUGCUCAUCAGAGCUCAUCACAAUGAGAUUACCUUCUACAGCUGCUUUUUGGGAGGGAAGCAAGCUGACCAGCUCCAUCAGGUGCAGAAUGAGAUUACCUUCUACCUCCAGCUCUUCCCCCUCGUUAGCUUUGUCGAUACCAGUCGGACCUGGGCACGGCUUCUGCACAGAGCUCAUCCUCUCGGUACAGAGGUACAUAUAUUUGUCUCGCUUUUCUAG